Molecule: long non-coding RNA, 1282 nt
Filed under: Gossypium barbadense (sea-island cotton)
Lineage: Eukaryota; Viridiplantae; Streptophyta; Magnoliopsida; Malvales; Malvaceae
Description: long non-coding RNA (GBAR_LNC006668)
Source: RNAcentral
UAAUAGGCCGAAUUUUUCGGGCCCAUAAAAAACCAAAACCAAAAUAAAACAAAAAAAAACAAAAGUAGUAAAAGUCCACUGGUCCAAAAAGUCUAUUUACAACUUUUUUAAUCCAAAAAUAAAGGCCCAAAUAUUAAACCUAAUAAACCUACACCCAAAAUCCCAAAGUCCCCUAGUCCAAUUCACAAACGGCCCAAAGAGCCCAACAGCUUGAAAAUACCAGAAACCUAAAGGUUUCUAGAACACGCUAGUACUGCAAUCGGGCUUUCACGAGGGGUUUUCCCACGCACGGCUUCCACACCUCCGUACGACCGUUUCUCCACAAUUGCAAUAGAAUACACGGGAAGAAGCAGCUAACAGAAUACACAACAAAUGACAUAAGGAACAUAUAAUUUUUAUUUUUCAUAUAUUCUAUAAAUCUGGCUAUAAAAAGCCAUUAUCUGUACCUUGAAAAUACUACGCAUACUGAAAUACGAAAACUCAAUACAAAGAAUCAAGAAGGUGAUUUUAAGUUUUUUUUCUCUCCUCCUUCGUCUAUAAUAUUUUUGUUUCUUUUUGCAUCUAUUUUGCUUCGUAGAAUAAUCUCUUUUUUUUUUUAAAAAAAGGAAAUGAAAGAGGUUUAGCUAGAUGCAUCAACGAGAUCCUUGUUUCCUCCGUCGAAAUCAGAGUUUGAAAUGGGGAUUUCCGAGUGAAAGCAGUCAUUGAGUUUAGACUUUGAUCAAAAUAAGGAGCGUCUUUACAUCAUCCACCAAUUUUAAUGGUGAACUGAUGGUUGAAUUGCCGGAUUGGAUGGAGGAGGGCUGCUGUGCCGAAACCCUAGUAAUUGGGUAUUAGGUUUGUGGCUUGAAGAAAUGGCCAAUUGCCAUUCAAUGGCUUUUAAUUUUGAAACAAAAUGAAACGGUGCAGUUUAAGGGUAGGGAGAUCCGCACGUUGACCCAUUCCCAGACUCGGAUCUGUGCCUCUAUGCUUCAAAUGGGAAAUUGGCACGGUUAAUCCCUCCCUUUUGCGCCGCAUUUCAGUUGACCCGUAUUGGCAUCUUAUUUGUUUUUUAAAAUUUCCCCAAAAGUUUGUGUGCUAUUUCAUUUUAGUCCGCGUCUAGAUGCUGCGUUUUGGGGAUCUGGAAUAUUGCUAACUUUGGCCCCUGUACAUUUUUUUGCAUUGCAUGAUGGUCCUCUUUUUGAUUAUUUUAUUUGUAAAUUAUCCCUGCUAUUUUAAGUUUAUUUUAAUUAAGUCUUCUGUUUAUAUAAUUCGUUAUUUUUUAAGGAGAUUCACUUAAUUUUUU